UGGGGAAUAUUGGACAAUGGGCGCAAGCCUGAUCCAGCCAUGCCGCGUGAGUGAUGAAGGCCCUAGGGUUGUAAAGCUCUUUUGUCCGGAAAGAAAUGGCUCUGGUUAAUACCUGGGGGUCGAUGACGGUACCGGAAGAAUAAGGACCGGCUAACUACGUGCCAGCAGCCGCGGUAAUACGUAGGGUCCAAGCGUUAAUCGGAAUUACUGGGCGUAAAGCGUGCGCAGGCGGUUGUGCAAGACCGAUGUGAAAUCCCCGAGCUUAACUUGGGAAUUGCAUUGGUGACUGCACGGCUAGAGUGUGUCAGAGGGGGGUAGAAUUCCACGUGUAGCAGUGAAAUGCGUAGAGAUGUGGAGGAAUACCGAUGGCGAAGGCAGCCCCCUGGGAUAACACUGACGCUCAUGCACGAAAGCGUGGGGAGCAAACAGGAUUAGAUACCCUGGUAGUCCACGCCCUAAACGAUGUCAACUAGUUGUUGGGGAUUCAUUUCCUUAGUAACGUAGCUAACGCGUGAAGUUGACCGCCUGGGGAGUACGGUCGCAAGAUUAAACUCAAAGGAAUUGACGGGGAUCAUAGCUGUUUCCU
This 586-nucleotide ribosomal RNA is filed under the name uncultured bacterium. RNAcentral describes it as "partial 16S ribosomal RNA". It matches the Rfam family "Bacterial small subunit ribosomal RNA", at positions 355 to 1375 of the family's 1533-position model. The record is from RNAcentral.